AUGGAAUAUCACAGUGCACACUUUCAAAUAAUCCCGAUUUUCUGAUAUUUAUUGCUAGAAAAUAACAUUGAUGGAUAAUCAAAACAAAACUGUACCUUUUCCCCUGACUCCAUCCUCUUUUGUAUUAUCUGUGACUGCUUAACUAUCCUGACUUUGAUAUCUUCCCAGAUCCUGUCCCUCAAACAUAAAAACCAUACUCUCACAUGCAGACACACAAACAUAUAGCGUACAGACGGACAUGAUUAAGGAUAUACAGGAACAGAAAGAGAGACACAUACAUGGAUAUGCACUAAAGUGAGAUUUAUUAGGAAUUUAAACUCCCUUUUAAAUUAAAGGUCAGAAAAACUAAGCAU
Molecule: non-coding RNA, 353 nt
Organism: Pelobates cultripes (western spadefoot toad)
Lineage: Eukaryota; Metazoa; Chordata; Amphibia; Anura; Pelobatidae
Source: the annotation of a GenBank genome assembly